UACGCUCCCAGGCAGUCACAAAGAUUAUUCAACUUCUAGAGAAAUUGUAGCAGUGAUGAGUUUAAAUAAUCAUAAGCAUUGUUUUAGCAGCUCAGAGAAAAAAAUUAUUGCGGGGAGACCAAAACAAUGCGUUCUCAAUUUUUGUUGAUAUUUAGCCUCUUGGUUAAAACUAACUUCGCCUUAUUCAUCGAGUUUCAUUAGCGGCACUUCGCACCCUACAUCGUCAAAAUCGAGGAUUCAUUCAUGGAAGUAUGAAUUCGGACAUUCCUAGUCGAAAAAGUCAUCGUAUGUAAGUAUAUAUAAAGGCAUAAAUUAAAACGAUGAAUUUUUUCCAUAUUAAUUUUGCCGGAAAUAGCGUUUAGCCUAUACGUCCUUUAUAAACUGUUGCUCUACUAAGACUUGAAAUCUGUAAGUAUAUGUUUUCGGGUUUUAAAAGACUGCGGUUCAUUUUUUAAUUAUACCACCUUCAGUUGGAAUUAUGUGUAAGGGCCGCUAUAUUAUAUACUUUUUUCUGUUGUAUUUAUGAAACUUUCUUAUUGCUAAAGUAUAUUUAUUUCUAUAUAUUAAACUAGAUUUCAAUUCCAAUAUUCACAUUCAACAAAAGAUACAGAUUUUGUUACUAAAUUUUUUAUCUUAUUUUCUUCAAUUUUCAGCAAUUCUAAAAAUACUCUGAAACAAAGAAAGAUACGCACACACAGGUUCACAUUUUGUAUUGAAGAAAAAACUUGGACUCUUGUGGAAAAUUAAAUCUCUCUUUAAACAACCUCAUGACAGCGAACAACUCGCGAGAAUUCCGAGUACCAAAAAUGUGCCUUGCUGUUGAUCUAUUCAACUUGAGUAACUUUUGCAUUUUGGAAUGAAAUAACGCAGUUGCUGAGCAUAUAGUAAUCAUUCCUUGCGAAAAUGAGGGCACUUUUUUAUUGAUCGAGAUUAAUUGCGCACGUAUGACAAUGCCAAGUCUUAUCUUAACUUUAAAAUACAAAGGAAUCAUUGAUGAAAGUAAACGCCAAUCAAAUAAUAUGCAUAUGUUCCAUUGUCCACUCUCUCUGCGAUAUUUUGUGCGUCACACAGUUCGUACUUUCUGAAUGUACAAGUAUGUGUAUACUCUAGAUAAUAUCAAAAAUGGGGGCUCAUAUUGGAGGAAGUCAAGUAUUAUUAUCUGUGUUAAUCUAUUCAACUUGAGUAUUCGGAAUGAAAUGACGCAAGUUGCUAAUUGUAAGCAUAUAUAUAACGUUGAGCUGACCUUGCGAAAAAAUAAGAGCAUAUUUUUUGUUGGGAAAAGAAAUGAUCGAGAUUAACCGGGUACGCGUAUACGCUUUAAAUUUAUUGCUAUAAAGAUAAGCAAUGUGAUAAAAGAAAACGUCAUCAAACAAUAUGAAAACAAUGUUCGAUUUUCCUCUCUGUGCUGAUAGUUUGUGGCACGCACAGUUCGUACUUUUUUAAUAUAAGUUUAUAUAUAAUCUAUAGAUGUAUCUACUGGCUUGAUAUAAUUUCGAUAAUUUCAAAUGUCAAAUAACCAGCCCGUUAUUGGCACGCAUUGUAAGGAGUGUUAAAGCUAGCAAUGGGAAGAUAUUUGAGCAUUUCUGGGAUCUAUUACUAGCUAUUUAAUGUCAGAGAGAGAGAGAGAGAGAGAGAGAGAGAGAGAGAGAGAGAGAGAGAGAGAGAGCGUCGGAUAAGGCAUCAUCCUGGCCUUAUCAGGCUUCUCUGCUGUGGCACCAAAAAAUGAGGUCAUAUAUUGCCUCAGGUUACGCAAAAACAUCACGUUUUUCGGCUCUUGCAAUUAAAGCUUCAAUUAAUUCUAUAGUGUAUAUUUUUCGUCUCUUUCCGUUUUUUUUUUCAAAUUUCCAUUAUUAUCUAGGCAGUAAAAGCAUUAGAAAAUUUCCUAAAUCCAUUUAAGGAAUGUUUUCAUAAUAAUUAGGUUUUUAAUCAAUGUUUGCUCUGGUUUGCUUUCUACCUUUCAGCUCCUUACGUCGGUAAGAGAUGAUGAGGACGCACGAGAAUGAUAAAUGAUGUCCAAAUCAACCCUGCGCUGGCAGCACAACAACAUGCAGUGCGAUCUUGAAUUCACCUUUAUAUAAGCAGACAGAAAAGCAGAAAACUUUUAUAUGUCCCGUCUAUAUAGUUUGCAAAAAUGAAGAACAAAGUUGCGAUCAUCAGGACUACCACCAGCCCGUUCGAAGAAAAGCCAUCCACUAUUAAUAAAAUAGUACUCUUACCAACGUCAGCAAGACCAUUCAACCCUGAUGCUGAAGAACCAAAUCAAUAGACGUUUUUUUUCAUCAAAAUUUUAUUGAUCACUAUGCGGGCAUUCUAAAACAAAUUUAUUGAUAUAUGUAAUUUAUUUGAUAUAAUUUGAUAUAAGUAUAUGUGAAUCAAUAUUUGAGAAGUUAACAGAGCGCAUAUAGACGUGUUUUUGGCCGUAAUCACUAGCAAGAUUAAUAAACCAAAAAAACUAGAUUUUUUUUGCCGAUUUAGGUCCCAUCGGCUCCGAACAUAUUUGGGUUUGAUUGGUGCGAAAAAAUCGGCAAAAAAUUUAGUUUUUUUUGGUUUAUUAAUCUUGCUAGCGAUUUUUGCUGUAGGCCAAAAACACGUCUUCAUGAAAUUCACCUAGACCACCUUGACAAUCAGGUUAUUAAAGUGGAAUGAUACUGGGCAACAAUUGAAAACUAUUUAAAUUGUUGGAUGCCUUAAACAAUUGACCGAUAAACAAUUUGUUCAAAAAUUUGCAAUAAUAAAAAAAUGACAUUCCUACAAUAAAAAUUCAAAUUUUGCCAAUUUUCUCCAAAAUUUACAGUGCUCGAACAUAUUUUCUUUUUUCUUGGCAUAUUUCGAUUCCUCUCGUCGAGAUUUACGGUGUAUGCCACUUAUUGGGGAAACUCUUGGUUUUGAAAUUAAAUCGGAUUUCAAGUAAGGAAACAGCCAUUGCCAUUUGAAAAGCACGCUAACUUUCCAGCCAAUUUUCUCAAAAAUUUACAGCGCUCCUUAGGUCAAUUUAGGCUUUAACUGAAUCCUAAGGGAUGAGUUUAUGCAUUGGCAACAAGCAUUUUCCAGGCUUUUCCAGUAUCAUUCCUCUUUAAAAGAAGUGUUAGAAAAAUGACUUUUGUAUUUUCGUGAAUAAACAGGAUGAAAGUCAA
Long non-coding RNA from Cloeon dipterum, 3134 nucleotides. RefSeq lists it as uncharacterized. The transcript has 3 exons. NCBI's taxonomy places the organism in Eukaryota, Metazoa, Arthropoda, Insecta, Ephemeroptera, Baetidae. The record is from RefSeq and is a predicted model, not a curated record.